Molecule: ribosomal RNA, 1352 nt
Filed under: uncultured bacterium
Lineage: Bacteria
Description: bacterial SSU rRNA
Rfam family: Bacterial small subunit ribosomal RNA
Source: RNAcentral
AUUGAACGCUGGCGGCAUGCCUUACACAUGCAAGUCGAACGGUAACGGGUCCUUCGGGAUGCCGACGAGUGGCGAACGGGUGAGUAAUAUAUCGGAACGUGCCCAGUAGUGGGGGAUAACUGCUCGAAAGAGCAGCUAAUACCGCAUACGACCUGAGGGUGAAAGGGGGGGAUCGCAAGACCUCUCGCUAUUGGAGCGGCCGAUAUCAGAUUAGCUAGUUGGUGGGGUAAAGGCCUACCAAGGCAACGAUCUGUAGUUGGUCUGAGAGGACGACCAGCCACACUGGGACUGAGACACGGCCCAGACUCCUACGGGAGGCAGCAGUGGGGAAUUUUGGACAAUGGGCGCAAGCCUGAUCCAGCAAUGCCGCGUGCAGGAAGAAGGCCUUCGGGUUGUAAACUGCUUUUGUCAGGGAAGAAAUCUUCUGGGCUAAUACCCCGGGAGGAUGACGGUACCUGAAGAAUAAGCACCGGCUAACUACGUGCCAGCAGCCGCGGUAAUACGUAGGGCGCGAGCGUUAAUCGGAAUUACUGGGCGUAAAGCGUGCGCAGGCGGCUUUGCAAGACAGAUGUGAAAUCCCCGGGCUCAACCUGGGAACUGCAUUUGUGACUGCAAGGCUAGAGUACGGCAGAGGGGGAUGGAAUUCCGCGUGUAGCAGUGAAAUGCGUAGAUAUGCGGAGGAACACCAAUGGCGAAGGCAAUCCCCUGGGCCUGUACUGACGCUCAUGCACGAAAGCGUGGGGAGCAAACAGGAUUAGAUACCCUGGUAGUCCACGCCCUAAACGAUGUCAACUGGUUGUUGGACGGCUUGCUGUUCAGUAACGAAGCCAACGCGUGAAGUUGACCGCCUGGGGAGUACGGCCGCAAGGUUGAAGCUCAAAGGAAUUGACGGGGACCCGCACAAGCGGUGGAUGAUGUGGUUUAAUUCGAUGCAACGCGAAAAACCUUACCUACCCUUGACAUGUCAAGAAUUCUGCAGAGAUGUGGAAGUGCUCGAAAGAGAACUUGAACACAGGUGCUGCAUGGCCGUCGUCAGCUCGUGUCGUGAGAUGUUGGGUUAAGUCCCGCAACGAGCGCAACCCUUGUCAUUAGUUGCUACGCAAGAGCACUCUAAUGAGACUGCCGGUGACAAACCGGAGGAAGGUGGGGAUGACGUCAGGUCCUCAUGGCCCUUAUGGGUAGGGCUACACACGUCAUACAAUGGCCGGUACAGAGGGCUGCCAACCCGCGAGGGGGAGCCAAUCCCAGAAAACCGGUCGUAGUCCGGAUCGUAGUCUGCAACUCGACUGCGUGAAGUCGGAAUCGCUAGUAAUCGCGGAUCAGCUUGCCGCGGUGAAGGCGUUCCCGGGUCU